CGCGGCCUAUCAGCUUGUUGGUGAGGUAACGGCUCACCAAGGCAUCGACGGGUAGCUGGUCUGAGAGGACGAUCAGCCACACUGGGACUGAGACACGGCCCAGACUCCUACGGGAGGCAGCAGUAGGGAAUCUUGCGCAAUGGGGGCAACCCUGACGCAGCAACGCCGCGUGUGGGAUGACGGCUUUCGGGUUGUAAACCACUUUCAGUGAUGACGAAAAUGACGGUAAUCACAGAAGAAGGUCCGGCCAACUACGUGCCAGCAGCCGCGGUAACACGUAGGGACCGAGCGUUGUCCGGAUUUAUUGGGCGUAAAGAGCUCGUAGGCGGUUCUGUAAGUCGGAUGUGAAAACUCAGGGCUCAACCCUGAGACGCCAUCUGAUACUGCAGUGACUAGAGUCCGGUAGAGGAAGAUGGAAUUCCUGGUGUAGCGGUGGAAUGCGCAGAUAUCAGGAGGAACGCCAACGGCGAAGGCAGUCUUCUGGGCCGGUACUGACGCUGAGGAGCGAAAGCAUGGGGAGCAAACAGGAUUAGAUACCCUGGUAGUCCACGCCGUAAACGGUGGGAACUAGAUG
Molecule: ribosomal RNA, 574 nt
Filed under: uncultured Actinomycetes bacterium
Lineage: Bacteria; Bacillati; Actinomycetota; Actinomycetes
Description: bacterial SSU rRNA
Rfam family: Bacterial small subunit ribosomal RNA
Source: RNAcentral